GACGAACGCUGGCGGCGUGCCUAAUACAUGCAAGUUGAGCGCUGAAGGUUGGUACUUGUACCAACUGGAUGAGCAGCGAACGGGUGAGUAACGCGUGGGUAAUCUGCCUUUGAGCGGGGGACAACAUUUGGAAACGAAUGCUAAUACCGCAUAAAAACUUUAAACACAAGUUUUAAGUUUGAAAGAUGCAAUUGCAUCACUCAAAGAUGAUCCCGCGUUGUAUUAGCUAGUUGGUGAGGUAAAGGCUCACCAAGGCGAUGAUACAUAGCCGACCUGAGAGGGUGACCGGACAAAUUGGGACUGAGACACGGCCCAAACUCCUAAGGGAGGCAGCAGUAGGGAAUCUUCGGCAAUGGACGAAAGUCUGACCGAGCAACGCCGCGUGAGUGAAGAAGGUUUUCGGAUCGUAAAACUCUGUUGGUAGAGAAGAACGUUGGUGAGAGUGGAAAGCUCAUCAAGUGACGGUAACUAACCAGAAAGGGACGGCUAACUACGUG
This 497-nucleotide ribosomal RNA is filed under the name uncultured bacterium. Its description in RNAcentral is "partial 16S ribosomal RNA". It matches the Rfam family "Bacterial small subunit ribosomal RNA", at positions 28 to 507 of the family's 1533-position model. The record is from RNAcentral.